RNAcentral lists this ribosomal RNA (253 nucleotides) under uncultured bacterium. RNAcentral's name for it is "partial 16S ribosomal RNA". It matches the Rfam family "Bacterial small subunit ribosomal RNA", at positions 524 to 776 of the family's 1533-position model. The record is from RNAcentral.
UACGGGGGGGGCAAGCGUUGUUCGGAAUUACUGGGCGUAAAGGGCUCGUAGGCGGCCAACUAAGUCAGACGUGAAAUCCCUCGGCUUAACCGGGGAACUGCGUCUGAUACUGGAUGGCUUGAGUUCGGGAGAGGGAUGCGGAAUUCCAGGUGUAGCGGUGAAAUGCGUAGAUAUCUGGAGGAACACCGGUGGCGAAGGCGGAUCUCUGGGCCAUUACUGACGCUGAGGAGCGAAAGCGUGGGGAGCAAACGGG